Molecule: ribosomal RNA, 516 nt
Filed under: uncultured bacterium
Lineage: Bacteria
Description: bacterial SSU rRNA
Rfam family: Bacterial small subunit ribosomal RNA
Source: RNAcentral
AGAGUUGAUCAUGGCUCAGGAUGAACGCUAGCGACAGGCUUAACACAUGCAAGUCGAGGGGCAGCACGGGAGUAGCAAUACUUGGUGGCGACCGGCGCACGGGUGAGUAACGCGUAUGCAACCUACCUAUCGAGAGGGGAAUAACCCGGCGAAAGUCGGACUAAUACCGCAUAAAACAGGGGCACCGCAUGGUGAUAUUGUUAAAGAAAUUCGCUGAUAGAUGGGCAUGCGUUCCAUUAGGUAGUUGGUGAGGUAACGGCUCACCAAGCCGACGAUGGAUAGGGGAACUGAGAGGUUGGUCCCCCACACUGGUACUGAGACACGGACCAGACUCCUACGGGAGGCAGCAGUGAGGAAUAUUGGUCAAUGGGCGGGAGCCUGAACCAGCCAAGUCGCGUGAAGGAAGAAGGAUCUAUGGUUCGUAAACUUCUUUUGCAGGGGAAUAAAGUGCAGGACGUGUCCUGUUUUGUAUGUACCCUGAGAAUAAGGAUCGGCUAACUCCGUGCCAGCCGCCGC